GUCAUUAAAAUGGCGUCUGUGCUAGAGAUCAGGCGCUAUGCUUGUUAUGUUGUACGCUUUAAUUCUGAUCGAGAAUUCGUAGCUUGAAAUAGAAAAGGUUAUUGGAAAAUGGAUGAAAUUCAGUCUCGAGGACCUGGGACUUUUGUGCCCUUAGCUGAAGAUACAGCAGGAGAACAAGGCAGCAGUGGUUCAGGAGGUGAAGGAGGUGGGGAUGGAAAUGGAGAUGAAUCUGGUGAAGCACAAGAUGAGGAAUCAUCUUCAUCAAAUACACUGGUAACUAUGGAAACUGAACUGGAGAACUUCAGACAAGAGUGGAGAAGAGAGCUAGAAGAAUCACCCCAAUUUGAUGCUUCAGUGGGAGCUAGCAGGGGGAAUACUGCAGAACUGAGUGAAAGUCACAAGGAAGAGAUAGUAGAAGAAAAGGCUCGAAGGUAUUUUUUACAAGGGAUUAAUGCUGAGCAGUCAGGAAGGCUUUAUGAAGCUAUAUCAUUCUACAGACGAGCUGUUCAGCUUGUUCCAGACAUUGAAUUUAAGAUGUUUGACAACUCUGGAAAGAUGCAAACUGAUAAUGGGAGUGAUACAUCUGAUGACAGUGCUGUUGAAGAAGAAGAAGAUGUUUUGAAUGAGGAUGGUGAUGUUUCUGAUUUGGUGACAAAAUUUAAUAAUCUGUCGGCUCUUUCUGGUUGUACCUUGAUUUGUCAACCUGAUCUAGAUCAAAAGACUACUCAUAUAUCUGCACUGCCAAGAGAAGUCUUCAUGUACAUAUUGAGAUGGUUGGUGUCAAGUGACUUUGAUUUUCAUUCAUUAGAACAGGUUUCUAUGGUUUCUCGGGGAUUUUACUUAUGUGCUCGAGACCCAGAAAUUUGGCGUCUGGCUUGCUUAAGGGUAUGGGAUGUUAAUUGUGGUCAUCCCAACAAAUAUGGCACCUGGAGAGACAUGUAUGUGCAGAGACCCAGGCUCAGAUUUAAUGGUGCAUACAUCAGUAGGACAACUUAUGUGAGGUAUGGGGAAGCAAUGUUUCAGGAUGCCAGCUACAGGCCGUGCUAUCUAGUGGAAUACUACCGUUAUUUACGGUUCUUCCCUGAUGGUAUGGUCUUCAUGUUGACCACACCUGAUGAUCCCUAUCAGUCUCUUGCAAAGUUACGCCACCGAAAGGUUCGUCACACAACUGUGCUUACUGGCCACUAUCGACUGUUGGGUAACUCUGUGUCCAUUAUUGCCAAACGACCGAAAGUUGAGCUCCCUGUAGGUAGCAACUAUUUCCGAUAUCGCCGUAACAAACAGAAUUUGUCUCAUGAUCCAGGGGAACAGCAGUAUCACCUGAAACUUGAAGUUAGAAAUAUAAAGCACCGUACAAACUUUCAGCUUUUGUGGCAACAUUAUGCUAUACAUACUAAGUACAGAAAUGGACAAGAAACAGUUUCCAGCUUCGAUCUUACCCCCAAAACUUUUCCACCAUUCUGGUUUUCAAGAGUACGAAGUUUUACAACAGAGUCUAUUAGUCCACUUCAGUAGACGAGUGGUAGUGGAACUUUUUUUUAAGAGAUGCCAUUGUAGUUUUUAGUUUCAAAGCUGUUUUUGGUAACAGUUUGUUUUCAUAUAUAUAUGUACUUUUGAACACAUAAGUUUGUAGCUCUCUCUCUCUGCAUGUAUUUUAUUAUCCUAAUAUCAAAAUAACAAAUAAAAUUGUUAUCGCAUACCUUAAUUUUGUUGCCAGGAGCAUUGAUAAUUUUUUUGUGAAUUUUAUUACGUACUUGCAAACUGAUCUUGUCUUUGUAGCGUGUGUUGAAUGGACAUUGGUUUAAUAGUAUGUUUUGUUUGUAGAAAAAGAACAUCUUGUAUCAAGAUUGACAUACAUGCUUUUUAACAGAUUACAACUUUUCUUUUGAUACUAAAGUUCAACUUGCAGAAUGAAAUUUUUUUUGAAUUUCAUUAAAGAAUGUCAGAAUGUUUUAGUUAUGUGAAAACUGAUAUACGUUACUGGUAAUGUAGAUAAGUAAAAUUUACAAACAAAAUUUGAAAGAAAUUUAGAAAAUAAUGAUUGACAACUGUUUUUCCCAUAUUUUUCUGAAUUAAAAAAUGUUUUAAAAUAUGUUUUUGAGCUGUAAAUUGAUCAUUUUUAUUGUGCAACUAAUGAUUAUAUGGAUGGUGUUAUGCAAAUGGGAUCUAACCCAAAAUUCUUAGUUUUGAGUAAAUGACCAAAAUGUUUCACUUUCCUACAAAAAAUCAUUGAUGAAUACCAGAUGUUCUUUCUUAUUUUAAUCAAUGGAGAUCGCUACUAUGUGUUAGAACAGAACAUUUACAUAACAAUAAACUAUUCAUUAUGAUGACAAUUAGUGGUUUAGGACAUUUUUGCCUAACUUAGAUUUCACAAAACUGCUACUUUUCAAAAAGAUAUCAAGAAACGUAAUAAUAUGCAAAUCAGAUUUUUAAGAAGUUGUAGAUUUAUUCAAAAAGACAAUUACCUAAACAAAUAUUUUCAUUCUAAUCAUUGGUGGUUAUUGUUGUAGCUCUUGAUGUAAAUAGAGCAAGGUUAGUCGUCCUCAAUAAGAUAAUCCAUCUCUACAUCAAAGCCGUCCACAUCAUCAACAAUGUUCUCAUCUUGAAGGAUGGAGUGGUAGAACGGCUUGCAGGCAUCUGGGAUGAGACACAUUAGGUCUCUUAGAUCAUUGUGCUUGGCUGCUGACACUUUUUCUCUCAGGCCAUAGCAAAAGCAAGACUUUAACAAAAGGUAAGCUG
This 2739-nucleotide unclassified non-coding RNA is filed under the name Limulus polyphemus (Atlantic horseshoe crab). Its description in RNAcentral is "f-box only protein 9-like, transcript variant X1". The record is from RNAcentral. Lineage: Eukaryota; Metazoa; Arthropoda; Merostomata; Xiphosura; Limulidae.